This is a long non-coding RNA of Canis lupus familiaris (dog), 504 nucleotides long. RefSeq lists it as uncharacterized. NCBI's taxonomy places the organism in Eukaryota, Metazoa, Chordata, Mammalia, Carnivora, Canidae. The transcript has 3 exons. The record is from RefSeq and is a predicted model, not a curated record.
CUGUGAGGAGGCAGGCCAUGAUGAGUCUGGGACACAGAGUGGCCACCCGGCCAGUCGCCCCCACAGCCCCAGCUGGUUCUGGAUGGGAAGAGCACAGGCAGCUGGGAGCAGGACAGCGUCAGGAGAGUGGCCCACAGAUAGGGACACCUGAUGGGGCAGCCUCUUAGUGUUGGGCCCCCCGCCAAGGGGGGGCAGGCGUAGUCAUGGCCAGAAUCCCGGUGUCCCCCACAGCACCCCGUGGUCCCCACGGUGUCCCCUCUCACUGUCUUCCUGGGAGCCAUCGGGGGAGCUAAGCCCACCUGGUCCUUCUGGGACCCUCCAGCGUUGUCUCGGAGGACUGGCACCGCCGCGAGAGGUUGACCGGCUCUCUCCUGGGAGUGGGCCUGCUGAGGUGUCAUGUUUGUGAGAAGGAGCAUAGUUUCAAAUGCCAGAAUCCAACAGAAUGUCCGGAGGGAAUACACUUGUGUGCCUCUAUUGCCCUGAGAGUAUAUCCACGUUUCUUCU